ACGUAGGUGGCAAGCGUUGUCCGGAAUUAUUGGGCGUAAAGGGCGCGCAGGUGGCGUCGUAAGUCGGUCUUAAAAGUGCGGGGCUUAACCCCGUGAGGGGACCGAAACUGCGAUGCUAGAGUAUCGGAGAGGAAAGCGGAAUUCCUAGUGUAGCGGUGAAAUGCGUAGAUAUUAGGAGGAACACCAGUGGCGAAAGCGGCUUUCUGGACGACAACUGACGCUGAGGCGCGAAAGCCAGGGGAGCAAACGG
Molecule: ribosomal RNA, 250 nt
Filed under: uncultured bacterium
Lineage: Bacteria
Description: partial 16S ribosomal RNA
Rfam family: Bacterial small subunit ribosomal RNA
Source: RNAcentral